Molecule: long non-coding RNA, 4153 nt
Filed under: Solanum tuberosum (potato)
Lineage: Eukaryota; Viridiplantae; Streptophyta; Magnoliopsida; Solanales; Solanaceae
Description: long non-coding RNA (STUB_LNC007663)
Source: RNAcentral
AAAACAAAAAAACAGAGAACCAAAGCAGAAAAACAGAGUUAAAUUUUAGAAGAAAUAAAAUCAAAAUGAGUCUAAGCAGGAGAGCGUGGAUAGUAGCAGCCAGUGUUGGAGCAGUGGAAGCCUUAAAAGAUCAAGUUGGAUUGUGUAGAUGGAAUUACCCAUUGAAGUCUUUGGCUCAACACACAAAGAAUAACAUGAGAUCUUAUGCUCAAGCCAAGAAACUUUCUUCUUCAUUAAUUGCGAAGAAUGAAAAGGCAGAGCAAUCUGAAGAAUCAUUGAGAAAAGUUAUGUAUUUGAGCUGUUGGGGUCCAAAUUGAUUGUAAUUAAAUAGGACUACUGUCUAUUUCGAAAAUUAUAUGAGAAAACGUGUUGAUAUAUUUGUUGCUUUGAUGACAAAUCAGCUAUUCCAAUAUUUUUGUAUCACUUCAAUGAAAUACUAUAGUAUAUAGUUUUUAAAAUCUGAAAUUAGAAAUAGAAUUAAGAUCGAACAGCAUCUCAAAAGAUCAGUACAAAUUAAAAAUAUUAAAUGACGAAGAGUGGAAAUUGAAAAUGUAAAUUGAUGCUUUCAGGCACAUUUAUUUGCAUUUUCUUAAACAUAAACUUAGGUAUAAAUUUUUCUGUAGGCUUCUUGUGAAUAGUCUUUACCUAGAGAAAGUUUUUCUUUUGGAUUGGUCCCUCUUUCUUCAAUUUCUUUCAAUUGGAUCAGAAUAUAUUUCCAAGUCAAAUAGUUUAUUUAUGCAUAUUUCUAUUUCCAUAUCUCUUUGAACUGUAACGAUCAAAACAAUAUCAUAUUGACUUCUUCUUUUUCUUUUUAUACUUUUUCAUUUUUAAAGUUAUCCAAACACUUUCAAAAUUAAAAAAUAUCUUAAAAGUCAAAAAUCAUUAAAAAUAAGUUAUCAAGGGUAUAUCAAAAGAGUGUUUGAAAACUAUUGAAAAGAGGUGAAUAUAUCCGAUGCAACAUAACUUUAACAUACCAAAAUAUAUCUUAUAUAAGAUAAAAUGGUGUGAAGAUCGUUACUAAGCAUUGUGUGCGCCAUAGUAUUAAUCUUAUACAUAUAGUUACUUUGAUACAUAUUUAACGUUUAUUGUGUUUUAAUCAUCGUAUUAUAUUUUAUUGUUAUCAUUUUUUUCUAUAUUUUUUUAAUUAUUACUUCCGGAGAAUUACAUUAUACAUUGGAAAAGAAACGAUAUACAACUACAUUUAUGUUCAAUCAUCUGACAUUGGUUUCAUUUGAAUAUCCUUUCCCAUGGUUUUGGCGCAAGUGGAUUUUCUUUAAUCUCGCCAAUCCGUGUGCAUUCUUAUUAAAAUUUUAUUUAUUUAUUUUAGCCUCAUUUAUACCAGAACAUGUGUCACUCCAAAAAACAGUGUGCUCUCCAAAUAUAGUACACGUAGUAAUAAUUGAAGUGUCAACUUCACCUCCAUAAACACACACCUACCUCCAAAAUUGGAAAACCAUGUUCCAAAAACCACAGGAAAAUAAAAAUAGCACAGCCAAAAGCCACUAGUUUUAUUGAGCAAUACUUACCUAUAUAUAUAUAUAUAAAAAAAUCAUCCAUUCAUCAUCCCAAGUAAUUGAAUCCAACAAACACAAAAAGAACAAGUCUUUGUAAAAGCACUCACAAAAAUAGUAAGCCAAGAUUUGAAGAUGAGUUCAACAAGCAGAGCAUGGGUUACAGUAGUGAGUUUAGGAGUAGUAGAGGCACUAAAAGAUCAAGGAGUUUGUAGGUGGAAUUACACAAUCAGAGCCAUUAAUCAGCACGCUAAGAACAAUCUACGCUCAUAUUCACACGCCAAAAAAUUAUCUUCUUUGGUUUCUACAAAAAGUGAAAUGAAGGAGAAAGCUAAGCAGUCUGAAGAGUCUCUUAGGAAAGUUAUCUACUUGACCUGUUGGGGUCCAUAUUGAAUUCCAACUGUUAAAUUUUUUGAUAUUCUUAUGUACAUAUAUAUAUUCCUUGAGAAUUUAGGAGAAUGUUGAAGCAGUAGUUUUAUAGCUUGAGGCUUAAUUGCCUUGUCAAUAUUAAUGGGAAAACAUUUUUUUUCUAGUCCAUAUUGAUAUUGACGCAGUUCUCUAAUGAAUCAUGUGAAAUUUGUAGUUUUGAAACUUUCCAUCUAUUUACCAAUGUAAAAUGGUUCUAAUUUACCUCUAAAUUAUAUAAAAUGGAAUUAGUUUUACCUCCGUUAAUAUUUUGGAUUAAGUACAUUUUACCGUUGCUAAAAGUUCUUAUUUUUGAAGAAAGCUUAGAAUUCAGUAAUGCCGUACUCACUCCGUUUCUAUUUAUAUAUCACCAUUUUAUUAUUUAUGCCUUCAUAAGAAAUCAUAUAAGUUUAUCAUUGUAUUCUUAUUCAGUGGUCUUUUAAGUUUCACGCCUCAUAACAAACUAGUAUUCUUAUUUAGUGAUCUAGAAUUUAAGUUUUCAAUAAAUAAAUAUAAAUUAAUUUAUCUGAUUAAUUAAAUUAAUCAAUGAAUAUAAAUUAAUCAUUUAGGUUUCUUAUAUCGAUUAAAUUUAUAUUUUUAAGACUAAUAAAUAAAAUAGGAAAAAAUAAGAAGAACAAAACUAAUUUUUGAGCAUUUGACAUUUUUCUAUUUUUUCUGAGUAAUUGACGGUAAGAUAACAAGGAGGAGAAAAGGAAGAACAAAAAUAAUUGAAUACUCAAAAUUAAAUUAGGAAGGAGGAUUUUAAAUUUACUUUAGAUUUUGAAAGUACAUUUUACAGAACAUGUAGCCUGUCUUGAUUCCUGGUAAUAAAACCAUUGGUUUAUGAAGAAACCAGUGGUUCUAGUCCUCAGUUUCGUCUACAAAUAUUUUCCGAAUAAUAUAUUAUUUGUCUCAAUCAAUUAUGUAUAUUAGUGGAGUUAAAUUUUUUUACCCCUGUCUCAAUAUAUAUAACACUUUUCGAAUUUCGAGAUUCAAACAAGUCCAUUUUUUAUAGUAAAUUUCUCAUAUAUUUUUAAAUUAUUUUAAAUUGUCAAUUAUUGUGGAGUAUAACUUAUAGUUUAAAAAUAUAUAAAUUUCAUUUUAAAAAAUUGAAGAUUCCACGUGCAAAUUUUCAAUCAAAUUUAAAUUGUUUGAAUCUCGAAAAAUGAAAAGUGCCACAUAAAUUGAGACUGGGAAAGUAUUAGAAAGCCAAAAUAUAAAAAAUCAAAUACACAAAAAAUAAAAAAUAAAAAAAUAUUAUGCAUAUAUAUAAUAUUAUAUAUAUACUAUUAAUUAUAUUUAAUUUAUAAUUUAAUUUUUCACUAACAAGAUUCAGCUGAAAGAAUUUAAAAUAUAUGAAUCUCCAUGAAUUUUAAAUCUCAGCACAUUAGUAGAGGCUCAUUAUUCUAAAGUCUAUAAACUUUUACUUGGUAGUUGUGCAAUUUCAGCAGGAGAUCAAAUGAAUUUCUUAGGACCAGCCAGGUUCCAUCGAUUAUUCUAAAUAUGAAGUAUUUUCUUAAUUUUAAGAUAAUUAAGUACAGUAUUAUUUGAUAAAAAUUGAACAUAUAUAUAUAUAUAUAAUGUGUAAUUAAUUAAAUUAUUCUUAUGUAAUAAGUAUUUCUUUAAAAUCCAAUAUUAUUAAAAUAUAAAAAUAUAAUUAAAAAAUAUGUUAAUUUUUAUCGUGAAUUAUUUAAAUGACAUCUGUGAUAAAUAAAAAAUUGACUCUUUGUCUUUUUCUCAGUAAAAUUUGAAUACUGUCCUUUUUUUCAGGGGUAGAGUUGAGAAAAAAAAAAAAAAAAAAAAAAACAAAAACAAAAAAAAAACACUGGCUUUAGAGCCCACAGUCGCCGUAAAACCACUGGUUUAUCACUUUCUAGAUUCUUCCCCCUUUGCUUCUUUACAUCAGUACUGUGCCUAUAUAUUUAGCCCCAAUUUCUCUACAUCAUACAACUCAAAAACAUUCAAAUGUACAAGCAAUCAAAACAUCAUUGAAUCAAUUCAUAUAAUAUAUCAAAAACAAAGCAGGAAAAAAAAGUGAUUAAUUUUAUAAGGAAUUUAAUCAAAAUGAGUUCAAGCAGGAGAGCGUGGAUAGUAGCAGCCAGUGUUGGAGCAGUGGAAGCCUUAAAAGAUCAAGUUGGAUUGUGUAGAUGGGAUUAUCCAUUGAAGUGUUUGGCACAACACACAAAGAAUAACAUAAGAUCUUACUCUCAAGCUAAGAAACUUUCUUCUUCUCUGAU